Molecule: long non-coding RNA, 1146 nt
Filed under: Cyanistes caeruleus (blue tit)
Lineage: Eukaryota; Metazoa; Chordata; Aves; Passeriformes; Paridae
Description: lncRNA (ENSCCEG00000002140.1)
Source: RNAcentral
AUGGAAUUUUUAUGGAAUUUUUGGGAUAAUUCAGGUUGGGAUCCGGGCUGGGUUUGGGGUGAAUUUUGGGAAUUUUUUGGGGGAAUAUUCCGGAUUCUGAUCCCGGAAUUCCUGUCAGGAUUCCUGGUGCUCCACGUGGACGAGGAGCAGGGGCAGCAGCUGGACCUGGACGAGCUCAUCUCCGCCCUGAAGCUGCUCCUGAAGGAUCCAAAUCCUGGUCUUGUUCCCAAUCCUGAUCCUUAUCUGGAUCCUGAUCCUGAUCCCAGUCCUUAUCUGGAUUCUGAUCCCAAUCCUGAUCCUGAUCCCAGUCCUUAUCUUGAUCCUCACCCUGAUCCCGAUCCAGAUCCCGAUCCCGGUCCUUAUCUGGAUCCUGAUCCCGAUCCCAAUCCUGAUUUCAAUCCCAAUCCCAAUCCUGGUCCUGGUCUUUACCUGGAUCUUCAUCCCAAUCCCAAUCCUGAUCCCAAUCCUGACCCUGACCCUGAUCCCGAUCCCAAUCCUGACCCUGAUCCCGAUCCUGAUCCCGAUCCCAAUCCCGAUCCCAAUCCUGACCCUGACCCUGAUCCCGAUCCCAAUCCUGACCCUGAUCCCGAUCCCAAUCCCGAUCCAGAUCCCAAUCCCGAUCCCAACCCUGAGUCCAACCAAUCCUGAUCCCGAUCCCGGCCCUGAUCCCAAUCCCGGUCCUGAUCCCGAUCCCUUCUCUGCCGUUCCAGCCCUGAAGCUGCUCCUGAAGGAUCCCGACCCCUCCGUGCGGAUCAAGGUGGCCGAAACCCUGGGACGCCUCGUCCGGCUCCUCUGAAUCCCAGAAUUCCCAAAAUUCCCAGGAAUUCCCGGCUCCAAAACCCUGGGACGCCUCGUCCGGCUCCUCUGAAUCCCAGAAUUCCCAAAAUUCCCAGGAAUUCCCGGCUCCAAAACCCUGGGACGCCUCGUCCGGCUCCUCUGAAUCCCAGAAUUCCCCAAAUUCCCAGGAAUUCCCGGCUCUGCUGGAUCCGGGAUCCAUUCCCGCCCCUCCAAUCCCGCUCUGCUGCUUCCCGAUGGAAAAUCGGGAUCCCGGAAUUCCCAGAAUUCCCAGAAGAAUUCCCAGAAUUCCCCCCUGUACAGAGACUCUUUUUAAAUAAAGCUUUGGCCUCCGGAUCCGGCUCUGGAAUU